GACUGCUAUCGGAUUGAUACUAAGCCAUGCGAGUCUUUGUAGCAAUACAAGGCAGACGGCUCAGUAACACGUAGUCAAUCUAACCUAUGGACGAGGAUAACCUCGGGAAACUGAGAAUAAUACUCGAUAGACCAUAAUGCCUGGAAUGGUUUAUGGUUCAAAUGAAUUUCGCCAUAGGGUGGGACUGCGGUCUAUCAGCUUGUUGGUGAGGUAAUGGCCCACCAAGGCUAUAACAGAUACGGGCUCUGAGAGGAGAAGCCCGGAGAUGGGUACUGAGACACGGACCCAGGCCCUAUGGGGCGCAGCAGGCGAGAAAACUUUGCAAUGUGCGAAAGCACGACAAGGUUAAUCCGAGUGAUUUCUGCUAAAGGAAUCUUUUGUCAGUCAUAGAACCACUGUUGAAUAAGGGGUGGGCAAGUUCUGGUGUCAGCCGCCGCGGUAAAACCAGCACCUCAAGUGGUCAGGAUGAUUAUUGGGCCUAAAGCAUCCGUAGCCUGCUUUGUCAGUUUUCGGUUAAAUCCAUACGCUCAACGUAUGGGCUGCCGGAAAUACUGCAAAGCUAGGGAGUGGGAGAGGUAGACGGUACUCGGUAGGAAGGGGUAAAAUCCUUUGAUCUAUCGAUGACCACCUGUGGUGAAGGCGGUCUACCAGAACACGUCCGACGGUGAGGGAUGAAAGCUGGGGGAGCAAACCGGAUUAGAUACCCGGGUAGCCCCAGCUGUAAACUAUGCAAACUCAGUGAUGCAUUGGCUUGAUGCCAAUGCAGUGUUGCAGGGAAGCCGUUAAGUUUGCCGCCUGGGAAGUACGUACGCAAGUAUGAAACUUAAAGGAAUUGGCGGGGGAGCACCACAAGGGGUGAAGCCUGCGGUUCAAUUGGAGUCAACGCCAGAAAUCUUACCCGGAGAGACAGCAGAAUGAAGGUCAAGCUGAAGACUUUACCAGACAAGCUGAGAGGUGGUGCAUGGCCGUCGCCAGCUCGUGCCGUGAGAUGUCCUGUUAAGUCAGGUAACGAGCGAGAUCCCUGCCUCUAGUUGCCACCAUUACUCUCAGGAGUAGUGGGGCGAAUUAGCGGGACAGCCGUAGUUAAUACGGAGGAAGGAAGGGGCCACGGCAGGUCAGUAUGCCCCGAAACUCUGGGGCCACACGCGGGCUGCAAUGGUACGACAAUGUGUUCCGAAUCCGAAGGAGGAGGUAAUCCAAAACGUUACCCAGUUAUGACUGAGGGCUGC
Molecule: ribosomal RNA, 1229 nt
Filed under: uncultured archaeon
Lineage: Archaea
Description: bacterial SSU rRNA
Rfam family: Archaeal small subunit ribosomal RNA
Source: RNAcentral